This is a long non-coding RNA of Psammomys obesus (fat sand rat), 254 nucleotides long. RefSeq lists it as uncharacterized. Lineage: Eukaryota; Metazoa; Chordata; Mammalia; Rodentia; Muridae. The transcript is spliced from 2 exons. The record is from RefSeq and is a predicted model, not a curated record.
CGAUACCAACUCUCACAUACAGCAAGAGCCAGGACCAUCUUUGGAAGAGCAUUUUACCUCUGCACUCAACCUAAGAGAUCUAUAAGGGAAGGGAGAACUCAAAUUAUCCCCGUUGCAGACAAUUUGAGCCUAUACUUAAAAGACCUUGAAGAUUCCACCAGAAUACUCUUCUAGAUGAUAAAAACUUUCAGGAAAAUAACAUGUUACAAAAAUCAAUAUACCAGAACCACUGGGGGAGCAGUGAGAUGGCUCAG